UAAGGUCAUCAGAGAAUGGAUUCUGCAGAAGCAGAUGCUGAAAUACUUUGGUGGGCAGGGCUCAACAUCUCCAGGGACAGGGCAGGGCAGAAGCAAGGAGCUAAAAAAACUGGAUCUCACAAAAGUAAAGAGCAGACUGAUGGUAACCAGAGGCUGUGAAUGGAAGGGGAAAGGGAAGGGAUGCAAGGGAAAAAAAGAAGGACAGGACUAAGAGAAAGGCAGAGAUUCAUGGCUUUUUAAAAUGGUAUUUAUGGUUAUUCCCUCCUCCACCUCAUCCCUAACUUACCGGAAGACAAAAUGACAUGGGAAGAAGAGGAAAGUUGUUAGAAGGGGAGCUCUAGACAGCCAGGAAAGCUGGAGUCACAAGUGGACAAGGAGACCCAUGGAAGCGACUCAUGAUAGAAAUGGUUCUCCUUUGGUCAUCUGCAAACUUUACCCAACAAUGGUAUCUCCUGGUAUCGUAUGAAAUAAAACCAGAAGUCUGGUAUUUUGGUCCCAGCUGUUAAGACUUCUGCCUGGAUUAAGCCUUCUUUUCCAUCUCUCUGAGGGGCCACCCUGCUCAGAUUUCUCACACUUGGGCAACCUGCCUUGAUAUGUGAAUCUUACUUAGGAAAACAGACAAUUUUCUCUGGUCACUAUCUCAGCCCACAAGGGAGAUUUAGCAUUUUUAGUCGACCCUCUUC
RNAcentral lists this long non-coding RNA (683 nucleotides) under Homo sapiens (human). RNAcentral's name for it is "HSALNT0393608". The record is from RNAcentral. Lineage: Eukaryota; Metazoa; Chordata; Mammalia; Primates; Hominidae.